RNAcentral lists this small nuclear RNA (93 nucleotides) under Ochotona princeps (American pika). The record is from RNAcentral. Lineage: Eukaryota; Metazoa; Chordata; Mammalia; Lagomorpha; Ochotonidae.
GUACUCCCCCUUUGGCAGCACAUAUUGUUACAAUGCAGAGACGAUUAGCAUGGCCUCUGCACAAGGAGAAUUUUCUAUAAUAACCUAAUUUAG